ACGGAAACUCUAGAAGUAGUGACUCAUCUGUCUCAGCUCCUGACGUUGGAUAAGUUCACCCACCCACAUAACAUAUAUUCUAAAUGAUCAUAAAACAAAAACAAAAUUUCAAUCCAUGCAUUUUUGCUAGACUGUGGUGUGACUUUUCUUCACAUUCGUUUUUCUUCUCUAAACUAAGAACUACCGGUUAGCCUCGAAAGCGCGCCCUCGUCAGUCGCGCUCCCGAACAAAAGGUUCCAACACAUCACAACGGGAGCGCGGACGGCGUUCAAAAAAUUAAAAAAAAAAUCCCAUCCCUCCAAAAUACCCACUCCACCCUCUCCUAAAUAUCUAUUGACAAAAAAAAGCCACAUAAAACUUUGAUUUUUUUUUUUAACUAUGUGUCUACCCCUUUUAAUUUGGGAAAUUGGAUGAGACAUUUUUUCUUAUUUAUUUAGUAUCAAAGCUGUAACAUGAUUGUAAACGGAUGUAUUGUUUUUUAUUACCAUAUAAUAACGAUUUUAUGCAUAGAUUUAAUGAUUUUCUCCCUAUAAUGUUAAACCUUCAACCCUUAUUGAGGGUCUGGUUUUAUGGUUUAAAAUUUAAUAUUCAUUAUGAUGCAAAAAAUAGUUGUUUUGAUUGCGAGACGGAACAUUGCAAGCCAGUUAUUUGCUAGUGUGAGAACCCACCUGUCACAUUAUAUUGUGCAUCCUGACGUACAGCUGUACAUCCGGAUUGUAUCUCUGAAUGACCCUCCAUUAAACUCAGUUAGGUUUUAUUCAAAGUUGUGGAAUCAUUAGUGGUUUUGUUAAUUUUAUUACAGAUACACAUGUUCCAUGGAAAGCAAAAGUAUUAAAUUCAUAGUCUAACACAGCUACAUAAAAACUAAACUAUAACCUCACAGCACGCAAAACAAUAACUAAAUUGCGUUGAAAUAUUUACUUUAUUUAGGCUCUUUUGGUUUAAUAUUUUUAAAUUCACAAGAAUUUACAUGAUAUUAAAAGUACCAUGCAAAAGGUCAAAUGUAAGGCGGCAAAAACUGUAACUUAGCCCGGAAAAAAAUAUUCGUUUUGAAAACCGUCUCAGACUGACCUCCAGCGGUGGGAAUAUCUAAUUACAAUACAAAUAAAGCCGGGCUUCACAAACAUCUAUCUAUAUUUUUUAAAAUUAUUUAGAAAUAACACUUCCUGCUCUUCUUUAAUUUCACUUUGUUAACCGUCUUUAUUUCAAGCUUUGUAGUUUUCUUUGAUAUUUUUAUUUCAAAAAUUAAAGAAACCAGCAAUGUGACACUUCAAACGCAAAUGUUCCAGUAUCGCGAGAUCUCAUUGAAUCAGAACACCUGAGUGUAGCGGUUCUAAUUAGCUCUAGAUGGCAGCACUAUCUCAUGGCUUCAGUUGAGAACGACUCGAAACUAGUAAGAUUAUGUUUUUACACGACUUACUUAACUUGUAGCUAAUGUUUUUGCUAACAAAAUGUGUCUAUCACAAUGUCUCAGUUUAGCAAAUAGCCCCGUUGUUACAUGUAGCUCUGUCGGAUACAUUUUAUUGCGCUGUUAAGGCAAUCGUUUUCUUUCAUAAAGUGAGGACGUAUUUUGAAAGGUUCCUCUCAUAUGAAAACAUUAGAAGACUCGAUUGAAAAUAUUAUGAGACACUAGUAGGACAAAGUGUACUGCCUCUAUUGCUUGUAUCAUAUGAGAAAACUUGCAAUCCUAGUAUAUCUAGUCAUAUUUUACAGGUAAAUUGUUGAGAAUGUGUAGUUACAAGGUUUCUAUGGAAGAAAAUGACAUGAUACAUUUUAAUCCAUCCAUCCAUCCAUCCAUCCAUCCAUCCAUCCAUCCAUCCAUCCAUCCAUCUACCAAGUCCUCCUUCCAUACUCUGUUGUUUCAGAGGUUUCAUAUUUAAAGCUGGUCUGCUGCAGAAUUAUCUGCUAUUGUUUGCAGCAAACCAUUGUAAUUAUGCUUUUAAUGCUUGUUUGGGUCUGGAAAAUAAGUAAUAUGCAACAAAGAAUUUAAUCUGAAAAACAUUCAUUUGUGCAAAUAAUAUCUCAACAGAUACCAGAAGAGAAAAAGAUACAUCAAUCUCUACAAACAAACUCCAGACAUCUGUCGAUCACAGACAAGUUCAUUUGAGGCGUGUAAAUAAGUCGGUUUUCCCAGAACACUGAAUAGCCAAGCUCGUCCACAUUUGUGUGUGUGUGUGUUUGCGUGGGUGCGUGUGCGCUCGCGCGCGUGUGUGUGUGUGCUUCUAUGCUGGGUGGUCACGAAGAUCUGGGAUCUCUUCAUUCUCCGCCUUCCACAGAGUGAAAGAGAAAAAGCACAUGCAGAGGGGAGCUGGGGCAACACAUGAACAGCAGAGAGCUGUCAAGCUGCGAGGAGGCAGCAGAGAGACGCCUCAGCCUUUUCUUGGAAUACAUUCUCCUCUUCAUCUCUGAAGCCCACACGCGCAUGUAAACUCACAAACACGCUGACGGGCUGUGGGUGACGCUCGUAGAAGAAGGAGGGAAUUAUUUUAUGGAUCUGGAUGGAGGAGAGGCGGACACACU
This is a non-coding RNA of Poecilia reticulata (guppy), 2520 nucleotides long. Lineage: Eukaryota; Metazoa; Chordata; Actinopteri; Cyprinodontiformes; Poeciliidae. The record is from RefSeq and is a predicted model, not a curated record.